Molecule: ribosomal RNA, 425 nt
Filed under: uncultured bacterium
Lineage: Bacteria
Description: bacterial SSU rRNA
Rfam family: Bacterial small subunit ribosomal RNA
Source: RNAcentral
GUGGGGAAUAUUGGACAAUGGGCGCAAGCCUGAUCCAGCCAUGCCGCGUGAGUGAUGAAGGCCUUAGGGUUGUAAAGCUCUUUCACCGGUGAAGAUAAUGACGGUAACCGGAGAAGAAGCCCCGGCUAACUUCGUGCCAGCAGCCGCGGUAAUACGAAGGGGGCUAGCGUUGUUCGGAAUUACUGGGCGUAAAGCGCACGUAGGCGGAUAUUUAAGUCAGGGGUGAAAUCCCGCAGCUCAACUGCGGAACUGCCUUUGAUACUGGGUAUCUCGAGUAUGGAAGAGGUGAGUGGAAUUGCGAGUGUAGAGGUGAAAUUCGUAGAUAUUCGCAGGAACACCAGUGGCGAAGGCGGCUCACUGGUCCAUUACUGACGCUGAGGUGCGAAAGCGUGGGGAGCAAACAGGAUUAGAAACCCUGGUAGUCC